RNAcentral lists this ribosomal RNA (465 nucleotides) under uncultured bacterium. RNAcentral describes it as "partial 16S ribosomal RNA". It matches the Rfam family "Bacterial small subunit ribosomal RNA", at positions 28 to 507 of the family's 1533-position model. The record is from RNAcentral.
GACGAACGCUGGCGGCGUGCUUAACACAUGCAAGUCGAACGGAAAGGCCCCUUUGGGGGUACUCGAGUGGCGAACGGGUGAGUAACACGUGAGUAACCUGCCCUUGACUUCGGGAUAACUUCAGGAAACGGGGGCUAAUACCGGAUAGGAAUCCUUGCUGCAUGGUGGGGGUUGGAAAGCUUCGGCGGUUUUGGAUGGACUCGCGGCUUAUCAGCUUGUUGGUGGGGUAGUGGCUUACCAAGGCUUUGACGGGUAGCCGGCCUGAGAGGGCGACCGGCCACAUUGGGACUGAGAUACGGCCCAGACUCCUACGGGAGGCAGCAGUGGGGAAUAUUGCACAAUGGGCGGAAGCCUGAUGCAGCAACGCCGCGUGCGGGAUGACGGCCUUCGGGUUGGAAACCGCUUUCAGCAGGGGCGAAGCUUGUGGUGACGGUACCUGCAGAAGAAGCACCGGCUAACUACGUG